This 200-nucleotide ribosomal RNA is filed under the name uncultured bacterium. RNAcentral's name for it is "partial 16S ribosomal RNA". It matches the Rfam family "Bacterial small subunit ribosomal RNA", at positions 28 to 221 of the family's 1533-position model. The record is from RNAcentral.
GAUGAACGCUAGCGGCAGGCUUAAUACAUGCAAGUCGAGGGGCAGCGUGACUGUAGCAAUACAGUUGAUGGCGACCGGCAAACGGGUGCGGAACACGUACAGAACCUUCCUUCGAGCGGGGAAUAGCCCAGAGAAAUUUGGAUUAAUACCCCAUAGUAUUAUGGAGUGGCAUCACUUUAUAAUUAAAGAUUUAUCACUUG